This 315-nucleotide ribosomal RNA is filed under the name Triticum aestivum (bread wheat). Its description in RNAcentral is "partial small subunit ribosomal RNA". The record is from RNAcentral. Lineage: Eukaryota; Viridiplantae; Streptophyta; Magnoliopsida; Poales; Poaceae.
GUGGGGCUUGCGGCCAUUGAAAGGGCCAGAAGGAGACAAGCCUCCAGGGUGCUCUGGCUGCAGGCGGGUGACACCAGCACAAAGUUCUUCCAUGCCAAAUGCUACUCCAGAAGACGCAAGAACUUCAUCCAUACAAUUCAGAGCGACGAUCGAUGCGCCACGACUCAUAGUGACAAGGCACAGAUCAUCUAUGAUCACUUCAGCAAGAUGAUGACAGCGAACACCGGUCGAAACGUGACGCUGAACUAGAACGAGCUGCAGUUACCAAGAAUUCAAGCAGCCGGCUUGGAUAAUCCUUUCACGGAAGGAAAGGUC